GGAAUCUUCGGCAAUGGGGGCAACCCUGACCGAGCAACGCCGCGUGAGUGAAGAAGGUUUUCGGAUCGUAAAGCUCUGUUGUAAGAGAAGAACGUGUGUGAGAGUGGAAAGUUCACACAGUGACGGUAACUUACCAGAAAGGGACGGCUAACUACGUGCCNG
Molecule: ribosomal RNA, 162 nt
Filed under: uncultured bacterium
Lineage: Bacteria
Description: partial 16S rRNA
Rfam family: Bacterial small subunit ribosomal RNA
Source: RNAcentral